GGGGGCUGCAUGCGGAAGUUCUCCACGACGGGUUCGCAGAGAGGGAUGAGCAUGGUUUUGUUGCACCUGCGCCUCCUAUUCAGCGUCCUCCGAAGUAAAGACUCGGGAUUUGAAUCCAGUUCAGAGGAUUCCCGCUGAAGGCGCCUUUAUCCGCGCUCACCUGGGCAGCUCAGGGCCAGGGAUCCAGCCGCUGGCCGGGUGCGGGCAGGUGGUUAGGUCUAUUUGACAAGGGAUAUUUGACAAGGGAGCGGUGGGGAGGAGGCCGGCACCCCUCCUCCGAGCGAGGGGAGGCCCAGGCCCUGCCCCGUCUGUUCUGCACGUUAGCAGGGAGGACACUUUUCGUGGAAGGACGCCUUCGGAAAACACUCCAUUAUUGCCUCAGACUUUGUAUUGGAGCAGGGCUCAGUGAACUGCGUUUUCAGACCAAGAAACAGAAUAGCCACUGGCAGUGACCUGCGUUGUAAUUAAUGUCAUCAAGUCACAUAAUGAUUUUGGAGACAGCUCUGGGUCUGAUCACACCCCCUAAGGAUGUCCUGAGGGGACAUCUUUCCAUUCUGCCAUCUCGCCCCACUUCCGUGUGAUUUUCCCCUCCAGACUUGUCACCUCACUGUUCCAAAGGGGCCGCCACAGGCCAAGGAUCGCAGCCUCUCACAGCCCUAAUUAACACGGGAAAAAGGACCUUUCACCCGCGAAUACUUCCCUUUCGGAAAAGGGAAGAAGUCUUUUCCCAGAAAGCUGGAGUGGCCUUCCUCUUCCUCUCCUUGGCUCAUGGGUCCUGGGUUAAUCCUCGCUGAGAAAGUGAAUAUCUGCACAGGGAGGGAGAAAAUGUUGAGUAGCAAGUAAGAGACGCAACAUAUGAAGAAAUUCGAGGCAAAAAAUUUUUUCCAAGACUUUAACAGUUUUUAAAAUGGGCACAGAAUAAAAGGGAUUGGACAAUAUAUGUAUUUUUUAAAUAGGCAAGAGGGACAGUGAAAACCACUCACAGCUCGUUUCUUGGCUUACGUAGUAACCAAAGACUUUUUUAUUCAAAUUGUUCAUAAUUUCUUAGCUAAUUUUAUAAUUAUCCUAAUUACCCAAAAUACAUAGAAUAAAAAAGAAAAGAAAAUGAAAACUGUUA
Molecule: long non-coding RNA, 1117 nt
Organism: Felis catus (domestic cat)
Lineage: Eukaryota; Metazoa; Chordata; Mammalia; Carnivora; Felidae
Exons: 2
Source: RefSeq, a predicted model, not a curated record